This 90-nucleotide transfer RNA is filed under the name Magnetococcus marinus MC-1. RNAcentral's name for it is "tRNA-Ser (CGA) (tRNA-Ser-CGA-1-1)". It matches the Rfam family "tRNA". Rfam says of the family: Transfer RNA (tRNA) molecules are approximately 80 nucleotides in length. Their secondary structure includes four short double-helical elements and three loops (D, anti-codon, and T loops). The record is from RNAcentral. Lineage: Bacteria; Pseudomonadati; Pseudomonadota; Magnetococcia; Magnetococcales; Magnetococcaceae.
GGAGGAGUGCCAGAGCGGUUGAAUGGGACGGUCUCGAAAACCGUUGUGGGGGUGACUCCACCGAGGGUUCGAAUCCCUCCUCCUCCGCCA